Molecule: ribosomal RNA, 660 nt
Filed under: Enterococcus casseliflavus
Lineage: Bacteria; Bacillati; Bacillota; Bacilli; Lactobacillales; Enterococcaceae
Description: bacterial SSU rRNA
Rfam family: Bacterial small subunit ribosomal RNA
Source: RNAcentral
UNCGACGCUUUUUNUUUNCCGGNANCUUGCUCCACCGAAGAAAAAGAGUGGCGAACGGGUGAGUAACACGUGGGUAACCUGCCCAUCAGAAGGGGAUAACACUUGGAAACAGGUGCUAAUACCGUAUAACACUAUUUUCCGCAUGGAAGAAAGUUGAAAGGCGCUUUUGCGUCACUGAUGGAUGGACCCGCGGUGCAUUAGCUAGUUGGUGAGGUAACGGCUCACCAAGGCAACGAUGCAUAGCCGACCUGAGAGGGUGAUCGGCCACACUGGGACUGAGACACGGCCCAGACUCCUACGGGAGGCAGCAGUAGGGAAUCUUCGGCAAUGGACGAAAGUCUGACCGAGCAACGCCGCGUGAGUGAAGAAGGUUUUCGGAUCGUAAAACUCUGUUGUUAGAGAANAACAAGGAUGAGAGUAAAACGUUCAUCCCUUGACGGUAUCUAACCAGAAAGCCACGGCUAACUACGUGCCAGCAGCCGCGGUAAUACNUAGGUGGCAAGCGUUGUCCGGAUUUAUUGGGCGUAAAGCGAGCCCAGGCGGUUUUUUAAGUCUGAUGUGAAAGCCCCCGGCUCACCCGGGGAGGGUCAUUGGAAACUGGGAGACUUGAGUGCAAANAAGAGAGUGGAAUUCCAUGUGUAGCGGUGAAUGNCCNUAAAU